Molecule: non-coding RNA, 30 nt
Filed under: Mus musculus (house mouse)
Lineage: Eukaryota; Metazoa; Chordata; Mammalia; Rodentia; Muridae
Also listed under: 1 other name
Source: RNAcentral
UAGCUAAUAAUUAUAUAUUCACUGUUGACC